GUGUAGACAUGAGUCGUGCGCUUGUAUGUGUGCUGCUGGCCGCUUGGAGCCUUGGAAGCAACGGCCAGCCGGUGUUUCAGCUGACACGAGAAGUCUCCGCCGUUGAGGGUGAAACAGUGAUGCUGGACUGCACCUAUGACAGACUGGAGAGCAGAAAACACAUCUUCUGGUAUAAACAAGAAGGGAACGCAGGACCCGAGUUUGUUCUGAAUGCUUUUGAGAUCGGUCAGGGCAUGACGGCAGAAAAGUACGCCGACAGGUAUCACUGCAGCUUAAACCUCAACAUUGACCAAGCUCCUCUCCAUAUCGAUCAUGUGGAGCCCAACGACUCAGGAGUCUUCUACUGCGCCCUGAAGCCCACGCUGACACAUCCAAUGGCGUGCUUGUACAAAAACAUCUGUGCCCGCCUUAUAUCAUAA
Non-coding RNA from Syngnathus typhle (broad-nosed pipefish), 419 nucleotides. The record is from the annotation of a RefSeq genome assembly. Lineage: Eukaryota; Metazoa; Chordata; Actinopteri; Syngnathiformes; Syngnathidae.